This 1104-nucleotide ribosomal RNA is filed under the name uncultured Lemonniera. RNAcentral's name for it is "eukaryotic LSU rRNA". The stretch from base 476 to 1104 matches the Rfam family "Eukaryotic large subunit ribosomal RNA", at positions 1 to 649 of the family's 3401-position model. Lineage: Eukaryota; Fungi; Ascomycota. The record is from RNAcentral.
AAGGAUCAUUACAGAGUUCAUGCCCUCACGGGUAGAUCUCCCACCCUUGAAUAUUAUACCUUAGUUGCUUUGGCAGGCCGGGGCAACCCCCGGGGCUUCGGCCUUGGUGUGCCUGCCAGAGGAAACAAACUCUGUUUUUAGUGAUGUCUGAGUACUAUAUAAUAGUUAAAACUUUCAACAACGGAUCUCUUGGUUCUGGCAUCGAUGAAGAACGCAGCGAAAUGCGAUAAGUAAUGUGAAUUGCAGAAUUCAGUGAAUCAUCGAAUCUUUGAACGCACAUUGCGCCCCGUGGUAUUCCGCGGGGCAUGCCUGUUCGAGCGUCAUUUCAACCCAUCAAGCUUCGGCUUGGUCUUGGGGCAUGCGAUUCCGCAGCCUCUAAACACAGUGGCGGUGCCUCCGAGCUCUGAGCGUAGUAAUUCUUCUCGCUAUAGGGUCUCGGUGGUGUCUUGCCAGUAACCCCCAAUUUUUUACAGGUUGACCUCGGAUCAGGUAGGGAUACCCGCUGAACUUAAGCAUAUCAAUAAGCGGAGGAAAAGAAACCAACAGGGAUUACCUCAGUAACGGCGAGUGAAGCGGUAACAGCUCAAAUUUGAAAUCUGCCGCAAGGCCGAGUUGUAAUUUGUAGAAGAUGCUUUGGGUAUGGCCCCGGUCUAAGUUCGUUGGAACACGACGUCAUAGAGGGUGAGAAUCCCGUAUGUGACUGGGUGCUUUUGCCUAUGUAAAGCUCUUUCGACGAGUCGAGUUGUUUGGGAAUGCAGCUCAAAAUGGGUGGUAUAUUUCAUCUAAAGCUAAAUAUUGGCCAGAGACCGAUAGCGCACAAGUAGAGUGAUCGAAAGAUGAAAAGCACUUUGGAAAGAGAGUUAAACAGUACGUGAAAUUGUUGAAAGGGAAGCGCUUGCAACCAGACUUGCACGCUGUUGAUCAUCCAGGCUUCUGUCUGGUGCACUCGGCAGCGUUCAGGCCAGCAUCGGUUCUGGUGGUGGGAUAAAGGCCUUGGGAAUGUAGCUUCUUUCGGGGAGUGUUAUAGCCCUCGGUGCAAUGCCGCCUAUCGGGACCGAGGACCGCGCUUCGGCUAGGAUGCUGGCGUAAUGGUUGUAAGCGACC